CAGAAGCUUCCCCUAUACUAUACAUAUAUUUUACAAAAUAAAAAUGAAACGGAUCGGGUCGGGUACAAUUGACCUGGGCUCAGAUAUGACCCAUUAGGCUCAUAAGUAUCAGUGGUCCAACACAUGAGUCCAAAGUAUUUAUCAUCACUGCCUAUUAUAUACACUCUAUAUACACUCUAUAUACAUCAGAUAAACUAAACCAAUAUACAAUUACACAGCUAUUGUAAUGACUUGGAAGCCAUGUAAUCUUGUAAGUCAACAGAAAGGAAGCUCUUGAAUUUAUUUAAGAAGCUAAGACAUUUUAGUGUAGAUCACAUCUUGUUGUCUUUCCACGUGAAUGGAGGGCGUGAAUAUUUAACUGACAUGAUUUGCGCGUUUGCUGGCAACUUGUGUGUUUUUCUUCUUGUCUUCGUUACACUAUUUGUUUAUGCCAACCUGUUACUCAAUAUAUAUUGCUGUAAUAAUAAUAAAACAGUAAUUUCUUUUAGAAAAAACAGAAACAGAAAAUUAGUAGAACUAGAAUGAUAAAAUAAAUUUUGGAAAAUAAUAUAGGAAUAAAUCGAGUCUAUUGAAUAUACAGUAUAUUUUUAAGGAAAUUAUUCUCUUCAUGUACCAAAGUAUUGGAAUAUAUCCUCCAGGAUAGAACGAUUUAACUCAUCAGCGUAUUGAUACCAAAAACUCUAUUGAAUGGCAAACCACUCAAUGGUCGUAAAAUAUACUGGAAAAUAUUGUGCAGAAGAAGAAGAAGAUCAUCAGAAAAUUUAGUAAGUAAAAAUUAUGAGAUUCAAGGCAUAUUUAUUACCUGUUUGACACCGUGUCCAAAAACGUUUCCAACCGUUCAUAACAGUCAUAGUUGUUAGAACAGGUGGGAAUAUUGCGGAAAAAUUAGAAACUUAAUUUAAAAUAAUCCGAGAAAGAAAACGAAUCAGACCGGGUUGCGCGGCAUGGGUUAUUUUGGAUUGAAUUAAAUUAAAUAAUUAAAAGGAAUUUUGUUCAAAAAAGAUUAAUCAAUCAAUGCCAAUGCCGAACGAGCAACAAGGGCGACAGCGCGAAACUUGACUUUUUCAUAACUCUUUAAGAGCUAGAAGAAGAACAAUUAUAUAUAUAUUCAUCAAAAGCCUUUUCUUCCUCCAAUAUGAGGCAAUGUCUCUUUGCCAAGGAGGGAAACUCAAAUAUUUCAUUUUCCCUUUUCCUUCCAUUUCACGUUUACCCUCUUUAAGCUACACCAAACUUAAAGCCCAACAAACCCCGUGGGGUAUCAAUGGUUCGGUUUGAUCGGUUAUUUAAUAAUAUUUGUACCAUACUAAUUGUUCGGUAUAAUCAAAAUGAAAUUUUUCGAAAACGUUCUAAUCAUGUUCGUUUCUCUUUGAUAUAGGUAUGGUUCGAUUAAUAUUUGAUAUUUUUUAAAAGUCACUUGUAAAAGUACAAUGUAAUAACAUGUGUACUUUUAUAAGACUUAGCAAAAUUCUCUCACAUCUUUAUUGUUCAAACAGUGAUGAACUACAAAAAAAAUAUGAAACAUGUCUACAGUUAGUUCUAUUAACUAAGCAAAGACAAAAAAAUAUCACACAAUUGAAAAGAUACUAAUUAAGUUAGAACUUAAAAAUAAAAUCUAUGAAAGAUUAAAUAUUCAAAAAAAAAUCUAAAUCUUACGAAAAGAAGCAUGUUCAAUAUAUUGUAGUUUGUUACUCAUAAUCGCUAGAAUACCUUGUGUCUUGGUAGUGAAUAUCUUGGAAAUAAUUUAGUUUCAAUAGGGGUAACAUAAUAGGUUUGGAAAUUAGAAUUUGAGUUUUAAUUACUUGUUGGCUUAUAAUUAUUUUCACAAUUCCAAGGCCGAAGAAAAAAUUCAAUAUUUUAUAUUUUUUAAACUUAAUAAAUAAAUAUAUCUUUUACAUGUAAAUUUAUUCGGUGCGUUCGAAAUUUUUUCUAUUUAUUUUUAUAAAAUUAAAAGCAUAUUCUAAUUAUCGGUACUAUUAUAAAUUUAUAUAAAAACCUAUACUUUUAUUAAAAUAAACUUAAAAAUUGAUUCUGUACAUUAUAUUUCGAUCAAUUUAAUUGAUUUUAAAAUAUUUAUUGACACGCCUACAGCUGAUCAAGCACAUCUUUUGGCCUUCUUUUGUUUUUCCUGUAUCAAUUUCUUUGUUUUAAAAAUAAUUAUUCAUUAUCUAUCAAAGAUUGUGAAUCAAUUUUUUCAAAGAAAAAUAGAGGGAACAACCAUUUUGUUUUUGCCACUUUUCGAUCCUAUAAGUGUGAAAUAGACACUGUCAUUAAAUUUUACUUAAGAAACUUAAAACUCCUUGGCAGUGACUAUUUUUCAGUUAAAGGGGAUGAAAAAUGAUUAUUUGUGAAGUUUACCCCCACCUCUCUUGGGCAUUCCCAAUUACGCAUUCGGGAAUUUGCACAAAUGGCCUUUUUCAGGCCACUAUUCAACUUUAAUCCCCUAUUAGGUCAUGGAAUAAAUUCGUCUGUGAAAGAAAAAAAUUUAAAAGCGAAAUUUAACUCACCAGGCAAAUGAAGAUAGAAUUUAGACCUCAAAGAGGCUAUAGGGUGCAAAUAAUCCUACCAAUAGACAUUGGGCUUUCAUAAAUCUAGGCCCUGGCCCCAGUUCCCAAACCGGUGCAAGACCCAACAACUUCCUUUUGUUCCCGGCCCAGCAAUGGACCCAGCACCCCUCUUCUUCGAGAACACGCCAACGGCCAAGCUCAGAGCUCUUUUUUACUCACGACCUCCAGUUUCUGCUUAAAGCUCAAUUUUUUCCAGGUAUUUUUGUGCUUUCUUCAGUUUUUUUCUUGCAGCGGUCAAGCAAUGUUUUUGGAUUAGAAAAAUGCAGUAGAAUUGUGUUAGCAGUGAUCGUGCUUAUUUGCAACCAACGAGCUUCUCUUUUUCUUGUUGAACAAGCUUCAAAUACAUGAAAUAAGAAUUAAGAAAAAGAAAACAAGGAUAUACAGGAAUUGGAAGUUCGUUGCGAUUUUCUCGUGCCUUUAGUUUUAUUUUCUUAUUGUAAACUGUUAGUAAUUUGCUUUUCAUUUGUAAGGUGGAAUAGUAGAGGAAGCUAUAGACAUACCGGUCCAGCACAAGAAGCUUGCACGUGAUAUUAAGGCAUGUCUCGACAUUUUACCCUUUUUACAUUGGAAUAUUUAUACUAUUCCUUGCAAUUUUUGUAAUUAUCUAUGUUGCAUUUCUUAGAAUGGACGCUUUUUCUUUCUUCUUUUUUUAGAAAAUUUCCUGUGUGAUUAAGCUAUUCAAAUGAAUGUCAAGUCAAAAGUUCAAAAAAGGACCAUAGUAUGGACAACGUGAACUAGUUCGAAUUGAUUGGUUGAUAUAUGCUCCCAAAUUCGGAAAAGGGGGUAAAAGACGACCUGAGGAAAAAGGAAAAGAUAGAAGCACAAAUGAAUUUCCUUCCUUUGGAUAUGAGAAUGGGAUAUAGGUGAGGGAAGGCAUAAAGGAGAAAGAAGAAA
Molecule: long non-coding RNA, 3458 nt
Filed under: Nicotiana benthamiana
Lineage: Eukaryota; Viridiplantae; Streptophyta; Magnoliopsida; Solanales; Solanaceae
Description: long non-coding RNA (NBEN_LNC007403)
Source: RNAcentral